UAGUCAUAUGCUUGUCUCAAAGAUUAAGCCAUGCAUGUCUAAGUAUAAGCUACUUUAUACGGUGAAACUGCGAAUGGCUCAUUAAAUCAGUUAUAGUUUGACUGACAGUGCGAUACUACAUGGAUAACCGUGGUAAAUCUAGAGCUAAUACAUGCAGAAGUGCCCGACUUCGGGAGGGCAGCGUUUAUUAGAUCAAAACCAACGUCCGGCAACGGAGCAGGUGGCGAGUCAUGGUAACUAGCAGAUCGCCUGCGGGCGACGCGUCAUUGAAAUUU
Molecule: ribosomal RNA, 275 nt
Filed under: uncultured eukaryote
Lineage: Eukaryota
Description: partial 18S ribosomal RNA
Rfam family: Eukaryotic small subunit ribosomal RNA
Source: RNAcentral